UCUUCAAAGUGAAUGCUUGA
RNAcentral lists this small nuclear RNA (20 nucleotides) under Arabidopsis thaliana (thale cress). RNAcentral's name for it is "snRNA_03782". The record is from RNAcentral. Lineage: Eukaryota; Viridiplantae; Streptophyta; Magnoliopsida; Brassicales; Brassicaceae.